GUACCAGAGAGGAUAAAACCAAACAGUAAAAUCAAAUCAGAACUUCUGAACUCGCUAUUGCUCGUGGAAGAACAAAAAUUGUUUGAAUUUAUCCUUUUUUUUUUUUGGGUAAAGGAUUUAUCUUCUUUUUUGUUUUUCAAUACGGUGCUCGGACUGAACCGAAUUUCCAUUGCAAAUUGGCGGAAGAAUUAAGCAAUGCACAUGACCAUG
Molecule: long non-coding RNA, 210 nt
Filed under: Elaeis guineensis (African oil palm)
Lineage: Eukaryota; Viridiplantae; Streptophyta; Magnoliopsida; Arecales; Arecaceae
Description: long non-coding RNA (EGUI_LNC034376)
Source: RNAcentral